This 433-nucleotide ribosomal RNA is filed under the name uncultured bacterium. Its description in RNAcentral is "partial 16S ribosomal RNA". It matches the Rfam family "Bacterial small subunit ribosomal RNA", at positions 29 to 507 of the family's 1533-position model. The record is from RNAcentral.
AACGAACGCUGGCGGCAUGCCUAACACAUGUAAGUCGAACGAGACCUUCGGGUCUAGUGGCGCACGGGUGCGUAACGCGUGGGAACCUGCCCUUAGGCUCGGAAUAACUCCUCGAAAGGGGUGCUAAUACCGGAUAAUGUCUUCGGACCAAAGAUUUAUCGCCUUUGGAUGGGCCCGCGUUGUAUUAGCUGGUCGGUAGGGUAAAAGCCUACCAAGGCGACGAUCCAUAGCUGGUCUGAGAGGAUGCUCCGCCACACUGGGGCUGGGACACGGCCCAGACUCCUGCGGGAGGCAGCCAUGGGGAAUAUUGGCCAAUGGGCGAAAGCCUGAUCCAGCAAUGCCGCGUGAGUGAUGAAGGCCUUAGGGUUGUAAAGCUCUUUUACCCGGGAUGAUAAUGACAGUACCGGGAGAAUAAGCUCCGGCUAACUCCGUG